AUUGAACGCUGGCGGCAGGCCUAACACAUGCAAGUCGAACGGUAACAGGAAACAGCUUGCUGUUUCGCUGACGAGUGGCGGACGGGUGAGUAAUGUCUGGGAAACUGCCUGAUGGAGGGGGAUAACUACUGGAAACGGUAGCUAAUACCGCAUAACGUCGCAAGACCAAAGAGGGGGACCUUCGGGCCUCUUGCCAUCGGAUGUGCCCAGAUGGGAUUAGCUAGUAGGUGGGGUAACGGCUCACCUAGGCGACGAUCCCUAGCUGGUCUGAGAGGAUGACCAGCCACACUGAAGCUGACACACGGUCCAGACUCCUACGGGAGGCAGCAGUGGGGAAUAUUGCACAAUGGGCGCAAGCCUGAUGCAGCCAUGGCGCGUGUAUGAAGAAGGCCUUCGGGUGGUAAAGUACUUUCAGCGGGGAGGAAGGGAGUAAAGUUAAUACCUUUACUCAUUGACGUUACCCGCAGAAGAAGCACCGGCUAACUCCGU
RNAcentral lists this ribosomal RNA (489 nucleotides) under uncultured bacterium. RNAcentral describes it as "partial 16S ribosomal RNA". It matches the Rfam family "Bacterial small subunit ribosomal RNA", at positions 30 to 506 of the family's 1533-position model. The record is from RNAcentral.